ACGGUUCCUGAAGAUGUUCGGAGGACUGGUUCUUUGCCUGCUCCGAAUCCACGCAGAGAUGCUGGGCCUUCUCCUUCUUAUCUCUGCCUUCACAUCUUGCCACAUUGGGAAAGUACACCCGCAAGGCGACAACUGUGAAAAUGGAUUUAAUUGCACAAGACGACAACAAAACCUCCCAAACUGCCCAGCAGGUUUUUACUGUCCAAAUGGCGACUCCCCCCCUCUUCCGUGCCCGGAAGGCACCUUCCGCUCAACAGAAAGUUCUCCCCCGCAUGAGUGCGUGGCGUGUCCCGUCAAUUUCUUCAACGCUAAGCUCGGUCAAGCAGCUUGCUUUCCAUGCGGCUCGGAAGCCGUGCAACCGAAGGAAGGCCAAGGAACCUGCGCGUGCCUUCAAGAAGGCCGGGUGUUUCAGGUAUGGACCUCAAGUCUUCCCAACACGUAGACAGUUCACAAAGUAAUU
Molecule: long non-coding RNA, 460 nt
Organism: Pogona vitticeps (central bearded dragon)
Lineage: Eukaryota; Metazoa; Chordata; Lepidosauria; Squamata; Agamidae
Source: Ensembl